CCGUACACAAAAGCGCAUGUGCUGUGAGCUCGAUGAGUAGGGCGGGACACGUGGUAUCCUGUCUGAAUAUGGGGGGACCAUCCUCCAAGGCUAAAUACUCCUGACUGACCGAUAGUGAACCAGUACCGUGAGGGAAAGGCGAAAAGAACCCCGGCGAGGGGAGUGAAAAAGAACCUGAAACCGUGUACGUACAAGCAGUGGGAGCACCCUUCGGGGUGUGACUGCGUACCUUUUGUAUAAUGGGUCAGCGACUUAUAUUCUGUAGCAAGGUUAACCGUAUAGGGGAGCCGUAGGGAAACCGAGUCUUAACCGGGCGUUAAGUUGCAGGGUAUAGACCCGAAACCCGGUGAUCUAGCCAUGGGCAGGUUGAAGGUUGGGUAACACUAACUGGAGGACCGAACCGACUAAUGUUGAAAAAUUAGCGGAUGACCUGUGGCUGGGGGUGAAAGGCCAAUCAAACCGGGAGAUAGCUGGUUCUCCCCGAAAGCUAUUUAGGUAGCGCCUCGUGAAUUCAUCUCCGGGGGUAGAGCACUGUUUCGGCUAGGGGGCCAUCCCGGCUUACCAACCCGAUGCAAACUGCGAAUACCGGAGAAUGUUAUCACGGGAGACACACGGCGGGUGCUAACGUCCGUCGUGAAGAGGGAAACAACCCAGACCGCCAGCUAAGGUCCCAAAGUCAUGGUUAAGUGGGAAACGAUGUGGGAAGGCCCAGACAGCCAGGAUGUUGGCUUAGAAGCAGCCAUCAUUUAAAGAAAGCGUAAUAGCUCACUGGUCGAGUCGGCCUGCGCGGAAGAUGUAACGGGGCUAAACCAUGCACCGAAGCUGCGGCAGCGAACGUAUCACCCAAGACAACUUUACGGAGUUGACGAUUGACGGAGCGAAGCGACGUCAAAGCGUUCAUUAAAGUCGAGUUGGCUUAGGGAUACGUUCGUUGGGUAGGGGAGCGUUCUGUAAGCCUGUGAAGGUGUGUCGUGAGGCAUGCUGGAGGUAUCAGAAGUGCGAAUGCUGACAUAAGUAACGAUAAAGCGGGUGAAAAGCCCGCUCGCCGGAAGACCAAGGGUUCCUGUCCAACGUUAAUCGGGGCAGGGUGAGUCGACCCCUAAGGCGAGGCCGAAAGGCGUAGUCGAUGGGAAACGGGUUAAUAUUCCCGUACUUGGUGUUACUGCGAAGGGGGGACGGAGAAGGCUAUGUUGGCCGGGCGACGGUUGUCCCGGUUUAAGCGUGUAGGUGUGUGUUCCAGGUAAAUCCGGUUCACUUUAACACUGAGGCGUGACGACGAGGCACUACGGUGCUGAAGCAACAAAUGCCCUGCUUCCAGGAAAAGCCUCUAAGCAUCAGGUAACACGAAAUCGUACCCCAAACCGACACAGGUGGUCAGGUAGAGAAUACCAAGGCGCUUGAGAGAACUCGGGUGAAGGAACUAGGCAAAAUGGUGCCGUAACUUCGGGAGAAGGCACGCUGACACGUAGGUGAAGUGAUUUACUCAUGGAGCUGAAGUCAGUCGAAGAUACCAGCUGGCUGCAACUGUUUAUUAAAAACACAGCACUGUGCAAACACGAAAGUGGACGUAUACGGUGUGACGCCUGCCCGGUGCCGGAAGGUUAAUUGAUGGGGUCAGCGUAAGCGAAGCUCCUGAUCGAAGCCCCGGUAAACGGCGGCCGUAACUAUAACGGUCCUAAGGUAGCGAAAUUCCUUGUCGGGUAAGUUCCGACCUGCACGAAUGGCGUAAUGAUGGCCAGGCUGUCUCCACCCGAGACUCAGUGAAAUUGAACUCGCUGUGAAGAUGCAGUGUACCCGCGGCAAGACGGAAAGACCCCGUGAACCUUUACUAUAGCUUGACACUGAACAUUGAGCCUUGAUGUGUAGGAUAGGUGGGAGGCUUUGAAGUGUGGACGCCAGUCUGCAUGGAGCCGACCUUGAAAUACCACCCUUUAAUGUUUGAUGUUCUAACGUGGACCCGUAAUCCGGGUUGCGGACAGUGUCUGGUGGGUAGUUUGACUGGGGCGGUCUCCUCCUAAAGAGUAACGGAGGAGCACGAAGGUUGGCUAAUCCUGGUCGGACAUCAGGAGGUUAGUGCAAUGGCAUAAGCCAGCUUGACUGCGAGCGUGACGGCGCGAGCAGGUGCGAAAGCAGGUCAUAGUGAUCCGGUGGUUCUGAAUGGAAGGGCCAUCGCUCAACGGAUAAAAGGUACUCCGGGGAUAACAGGCUGAUACCGCCCAAGAGUUCAUAUCGACGGCGGUGUUUGGCACCUCGAUGUCGGCUCAUCACAUCCUGGGGCUGAAGUAGGUCCCAAGGGUAUGGCUGUUCGCCAUUUAAAGUGGUACGCGAGCUGGGUUUAGAACGUCGUGAGACAGUUCGGUCCCUAUCUGCCGUGGGCGCUGGAGAACUGAGGGGGGCUGCUCCUAGUACGAGAGGACCGGAGUGGACGCAUCACUGGUGUUCGGGUUGUCAUGCCAAUGGCACUGCCCGGUAGCUAAAUGCGGAAGAGAUAAGUGCUGAAAGCAUCUAAGCACGAAACUUGCCCCGA
This 2527-nucleotide ribosomal RNA is filed under the name Salmonella enterica subsp. enterica serovar Typhimurium. RNAcentral describes it as "partial 23S ribosomal RNA". It matches the Rfam family "Bacterial large subunit ribosomal RNA", at positions 373 to 2802 of the family's 2925-position model. The record is from RNAcentral. Lineage: Bacteria; Pseudomonadati; Pseudomonadota; Gammaproteobacteria; Enterobacterales; Enterobacteriaceae.